This 585-nucleotide ribosomal RNA is filed under the name uncultured Glomus. RNAcentral describes it as "SSU rRNA". It matches the Rfam family "Eukaryotic small subunit ribosomal RNA", at positions 624 to 1213 of the family's 1831-position model. The record is from RNAcentral. Lineage: Eukaryota; Fungi; Glomeromycota; Glomeromycetes; Glomerales; Glomeraceae.
AAGCUCGUAGUUGAAUUUCCGGAUCAGUAUGUUGGUCGUGCUUCGGUACGUACUGUCAUUACUGGUUUCUCCCUUCUGAAGAACCUUGAUGUCAUUAAUUUGGUGUCUUGGGGAAUCAGGACUGUUACUUUGAAAAAAUUAGAGUGUUUAAAGCAGGCAUACGCUUGAAUACAUUAGCAUGGAAUAAUGAAAUAGGACGUUUGAUUCUAUUUUGUUGGUUUCUAGGAUCGACGUAAUGAUUAAUAGGGAUAGUUGGGGGCAUUAGUAUUCAAUUGUCAGAGGUGAAAUUCUUGGAUUUAUUGAAGACUAACUACUGCGAAAGCAUUUGCCAACGAUGUUUUCAUUAAUCAAGAACGAAAGUUAGGGGAUCGAAGACGAUCAGAUACCGUCGUAGUCUUAACCAUAAACUGUGCCGACUAGGGAUCGGAUGAUGUUAUUUUUAGUGACUCAUUCGGCGCCUUACGGGAAACCAAAGUGUUUGGGUUCCGGGGGGAGUAUGGUCGCAAGGCUGAAACUUAAAGGAAUUGACGGAAGGGCACCACCAGGGGUGGAGCCUGCGGCUUAAUUUGACUCAACACGGGGAAA